RNAcentral lists this long non-coding RNA (1859 nucleotides) under Mytilus galloprovincialis (Mediterranean mussel). The record is from RNAcentral. Lineage: Eukaryota; Metazoa; Mollusca; Bivalvia; Mytilida; Mytilidae.
AGCUUGUAAAACAGAUUAAAAUCCUUGUUCUCAUAAACUGAAAAUUUCAAAAUAAAAUAUUCAUAUUUAAUGAAAAAUUUAGCAAAUUCAUAUUCAUUCAUUUACAAAAAUGAAGAUUACUUUUUUUUUAGAUAAAAGUGAUGUCCUUUUUUGGUGAAUUCAAAUCGAUGAGUGUGAGUUGUUCAGCAGUAAUUGCUUGCCCUAAAGAGAAUGUGACUUCACUGCUACUUUAUUGUAAGGUUCAUGUUUUUCAACUUUUUUUUUCUUCAUUUUUUUCAUUAUGUUAAUCUUUUAUCAUAGUGUUGUUUGUUCAUCUUUUGUCUGUGUUGUGUAUUCAUCUUUUAUCUUAGUGUUGUUUGUUCAUCUUUUAUCAUAGUGUUGUUUGUUCAUCUUUUGUCAGUGUUGUUUGUUCAUCUUUCGUCAUUGUGUUGUUAGUUCAUCUUUUAUCAUAGUGUUGUUAGUUCAUCUUUUAUCAUAGUGUUGUUUGUUCAUCUUUCGUCAUUGUGUUGUUAGUUCAUCUUUUAUCAUAGUGUUGUUUGUUCAUCUUUCGUCAUUGUGUUGUUUGUUCAUCUUUUAUCAUAGUGUUGUUUGUUCAUCUUUUGUCAUUGUGUUGUUAGUUCAUCUUUUAUCAUUGUGUUGUUAGUUCAUCUUUUAUCAUAGUGUUGUUUGUUCAUCUUUCGUCAUUGUGUUGUUUGUUCAUCUUUUAUCAUAGUGUUGUUUGUUCAUCUUUUGUCAUUGUGUUGUUUGUUCAUCUUUUAUCAUAGUGUUGUUUGUUCAUCUUUUAUCAUAGUGUUGUUUGUUCAUCUUUUGUCAAUGUUGUCUGUUCAUCUUUUGUCAGUGUUGUUAGUUCAUCUUUUAUCAUAGUGUUGUUAGUUCAUCUUUUAUCAUAGUGUUGUUUGUUCAUCUUUUGUCAUAGUGUUGUUUGUUCAUCUUUUGUCACAGUGUUGUUUGUUCAUCUUUUAUCUUUUAUCUCAAGUGUUGUUAGUUCAUCUUUUAUCUUAAGUGCUGUUUGUUCAUCUUUUGUCACAGUGUUGUUUGUUCAUCUUUUAUCUAUUGUCACAGUGUUGUUUGUUCAUCUUUUAUCUUUUAUCUCAAGUGUUGUUAGUUCAUCUUUUAUCUUAAGUGCUGUUUGUUCAUCUUUUGUCACAGUGUUGUUUGUUCAUCUUUUAUCUAAGUGUUUUUUGUUAAUCUUUAAUCAUAGUAUUGUUUGUUUAUCUUUUGUCAUAGUGGUGUUAAAUCAUCUUUGUAAUAGUGUAGUUUUCCAUCUAUUAUUUAGUGUUGUUUGUUCAUCUUUUAUUUAGUGUUGUUUGUGUAUCUUUUGUCAUAGUGUUGUUAGUUUAUCUUUCAUCUUAGUGUUGUUAGUUCAACUUUUAUCUUAAUGUUGUUAGUUCAUCUUUUGUCAAUGUUGUUAGUUCAUCUUUUAUCUAAGUGUUGUUAGUCAAUCUUUUUAUCUUAGUGUUGUUAGUUUUUUUUUUUUAUCUUAAUGUUGUUUGUUCAUCUUUUGUCAUAGUGUUGUUUGUCUGUUCAUCUUAGUUCUUUUUAUCAUUGUGUUGUUUAUAAAAAAAAAAUGUUGUUUGACAAUCUUCUAUUUUUUGUUCAUACAGUAUUUUCUAUCUUCCUAUGACUUAUAGUUGUUUAAUGCUUCUUGUAUUUUCUAUUUGAAUAAAUAUUUGACUUGUGUUGGUUUAAGGGGGUAGACCUUGGUUAGGGAGAUAACUCUUUAAAUCAGUUAUGUGUUUGUUAAAGUCAAGUUUCAUCAAUGUUAAGCAUUUACCUGAAACAGAUUGGAAAUAAUCUAUGUAACCUAGAAGCUUGGAAUAUAUUUAUGAAAAUGGUUGACACAAACGUACUGAUGAUUU